Molecule: long non-coding RNA, 537 nt
Filed under: Numida meleagris (helmeted guineafowl)
Lineage: Eukaryota; Metazoa; Chordata; Aves; Galliformes; Numididae
Description: lncRNA (ENSNMEG00000004988.1)
Source: RNAcentral
AUGCUCUGCAGUGUCCCUCGGAAAGAGAUGUGGACUCUCUCUGAUCUCCUGCCUGGGUGCCUGCUGUUGGUUGUAUGGCAAUGCUGGCUCCUGAGCAGUGUGCUGUUCAAGAAGGCACUAUCAGAUCACCACCCCCUGGUGAGCUGUCUUUUCCUAGCACAGAAUUGCAAGGAAGAAAGACAAGGAGACUUGAUUGUCAGAGCUGUCCUUGCAUGUACUGGUGUUGAUAACUGGUGAUACAAGGCUGUUAAUAUGGGUUUUGAAGUCUGGGCAGUUUUUUUUCUCUGCGUAGUUUGCUGGCUCUUCUCUUAUCCCUGCCUUCCUGUUGUCCUUUUCUCCUUGAUAUCUCUCCCCUUUUCCUUUUAUCUUAACCUGUUUCUGCACUGAAAAGUCAGUGGAAGGUUUAAUCUGGGGAAUUAUGCGUAUUUUAUUUGCCCAUACAGAUAGGGCGUAUAGAGCUAAUGUCAUGAAAUCAUGUAAGUCAUGAAUUCAUUUUAUGCCUCAUUCAUGAAGAAUAAAUACAAAUUCCUAGUUUCA